AAUUUGUAACCUUGUGAUACAGCCUCUUGCAAGGACAAUUGCUUGUGGCGAAACAUGGUUACAUAAAGCAAAACAAAGAAGCUAAGGCGGGACUUCUGGAGGUUGAGGAGUUCUACGUGCGAUGUUCCUUGGACAGAUUGUCUUCAGAGAGCCCUGCUUUCCACGGCGGUGACGGACCAUCAUGUACCCUCACCUUUCUUGAAGCAGAAGAAAAAGCCUUGUGUGGUAACCAGCUAUUGUUUGGAAGGGGAAGGUUUUCCUGUCGAACACUUGAUUUGUCACAUUC
Non-coding RNA from Oncorhynchus nerka (sockeye salmon), 286 nucleotides. NCBI's taxonomy places the organism in Eukaryota, Metazoa, Chordata, Actinopteri, Salmoniformes, Salmonidae. The record is from RefSeq and is a predicted model, not a curated record.